Molecule: ribosomal RNA, 2814 nt
Filed under: Klebsiella pneumoniae
Lineage: Bacteria; Pseudomonadati; Pseudomonadota; Gammaproteobacteria; Enterobacterales; Enterobacteriaceae
Description: bacterial LSU rRNA
Rfam family: Bacterial large subunit ribosomal RNA
Source: RNAcentral
UUAAGCGACUAAGCGUACACGGUGGAUGCCCUGGCAGUCAGAGGCGAUGAAGGACGUGCUAAUCUGCGAAAAGCGUCGGUAAGGUGAUAUGAACCGUUAUAACCGGCGAUGUCCGAAUGGGGAAACCCAGUGCAAUUCGUUGCACUAUCGUUAACUGAAUACAUAGGUUAACGAGGCGAACCGGGGGAACUGAAACAUCUAAGUACCCCGAGGAAAAGAAAUCAACCGAGAUUCCCCCAGUAGCGGCGAGCGAACGGGGAGCAGCCCAGAGUCUGAAUCAGCUUGUGUGUUAGUGGAACGGUCUGGAAAGUCCGACGGUACAGGGUGAUAGUCCCGUACACCAAAAUGCACAGGCUGUGAACUCGAAGAGUAGGGCGGGACACGUGGUAUCCUGUCUGAAUAUGGGGGGACCAUCCUCCAAGGCUAAAUACUCCUGACUGACCGAUAGUGAACCAGUACCGUGAGGGAAAGGCGAAAAGAACCCCGGCGAGGGGAGUGAAAAAGAACCUGAAACCGUGUACGUACAAGCAGUGGGAGCACCUUCGGGUGUGACUGCGUACCUUUUGUAUAAUGGGUCAGCGACUUAUAUUCUGUAGCAAGGUUAACCGUAUAGGGGAGCCGCAGGGAAACCGAGUCUUAACUGGGCGUUAAGUUGCAGGGUAUAGACCCGAAACCCGGUGAUCUAGCCAUGGGCAGGUUGAAGGUUGGGUAACACUAACUGGAGGACCGAACCGACUAAUGUUGAAAAAUUAGCGGAUGACUUGUGGCUGGGGGUGAAAGGCCAAUCAAACCGGGAGAUAGCUGGUUCUCCCCGAAAGCUAUUUAGGUAGCGCCUCGUGAACUCAUCUUCGGGGGUAGAGCACUGUUUCGGCUAGGGGGUCAUCCCGACUUACCAACCCGAUGCAAACUACGAAUACCGAAGAAUGUUAUCACGGGAGACACACGGCGGGUGCUAACGUCCGUCGUGAAGAGGGAAACAACCCAGACCGCCAGCUAAGGUCCCAAAGUCAUGGUUAAGUGGGAAACGAUGUGGGAAGGCACAGACAGCCAGGAUGUUGGCUUAGAAGCAGCCAUCAUUUAAAGAAAGCGUAAUAGCUCACUGGUCGAGUCGGCCUGCGCGGAAGAUGUAACGGGGCUAAACCAUGCACCGAAGCUGCGGCAGCGACACUAUGUGUUGUUGGGUAGGGGAGCGUUCUGUAAGCCUGCGAAGGUGUGCUGUGAGGCAUGCUGGAGGUAUCAGAAGUGCGAAUGCUGACAUAAGUAACGAUAAAGCGGGUGAAAAGCCCGCUCGCCGGAAGACCAAGGGUUCCUGUCCAACGUUAAUCGGGGCAGGGUGAGUCGACCCCUAAGGCGAGGCCGAAAGGCGUAGUCGAUGGGAAACAGGUUAAUAUUCCUGUACUUGGUGUUACUGCGAAGGGGGGACGGAGAAGGCUAUGUUAGCCGGGCGACGGUUGUCCCGGUUUAAGCAUGUAGGCUGGUUAUCCAGGCAAAUCCGGAUAAUCAAGGCUGAGGUGUGAUGACGAGGCACUACGGUGCUGAAGUAACAAAUGCCCUGCUUCCAGGAAAAGCCUCUAAGCAUCAGGUAACAUUAAAUCGUACCCCAAACCGACACAGGUGGUCAGGUAGAGAAUACCAAGGCGCUUGAGAGAACUCGGGUGAAGGAACUAGGCAAAAUGGUGCCGUAACUUCGGGAGAAGGCACGCUGGUGUGUAGGUGAAGUCCCUGCGGAUGGAGCUGAGACCAGUCGAAGAUACCAGCUGGCUGCAACUGUUUAUUAAAAACACAGCACUGUGCAAACACGAAAGUGGACGUAUACGGUGUGACGCCUGCCCGGUGCCGGAAGGUUAAUUGAUGGGGUUAUCCGUAAGGAGAAGCUCUUGAUCGAAGCCCCGGUAAACGGCGGCCGUAACUAUAACGGUCCUAAGGUAGCGAAAUUCCUUGUCGGGUAAGUUCCGACCUGCACGAAUGGCGUAAUGAUGGCCAGGCUGUCUCCACCCGAGACUCAGUGAAAUUGAACUCGCUGUGAAGAUGCAGUGUACCCGCGGCAAGACGGAAAGACCCCGUGAACCUUUACUAUAGCUUGACACUGAACAUUGAGCCUUGAUGUGUAGGAUAGGUGGGAGGCUUUGAAGCGUGGACGCCAGUCUGCGUGGAGCCAACCUUGAAAUACCACCCUUUAAUGUUUGAUGUUCUAACGUUGGCCCCUUACCGGGGUUGCGGACAGUGUCUGGUGGGUAGUUUGACUGGGGCGGUCUCCUCCCAAAGCGUAACGGAGGAGCACGAAGGUUAGCUAAUCCUGGUCGGACAUCAGGAGGUUAGUGCAAUGGCAUAAGCUAGCUUGACUGCGAGCGUGACGGCGCGAGCAGGUGCGAAAGCAGGUCAUAGUGAUCCGGUGGUUCUGAAUGGAAGGGCCAUCGCUCAACGGAUAAAAGGUACUCCGGGGAUAACAGGCUGAUACCGCCCAAGAGUUCAUAUCGACGGCGGUGUUUGGCACCUCGAUGUCGGCUCAUCACAUCCUGGGGCUGAAGUAGGUCCCAAGGGUAUGGCUGUUCGCCAUUUAAAGUGGUACGCGAGCUGGGUUUAGAACGUCGUGAGACAGUUCGGUCCCUAUCUGCCGUGGGCGCUGGAGAAUUGAGGGGGGCUGCUCCUAGUACGAGAGGACCGGAGUGGACGCAUCACUGGUGUUCGGGUUGUCAUGCCAAUGGCACUGCCCGGUAGCUAAAUGCGGAAGAGAUAAGUGCUGAAAGCAUCUAAGCACGAAACUUGCCCCGAGAUGAGUUCUCCCUGAGACUUUAAGUCUCCUGAAGGAACGUU